UCAUCCUGGCUCAAAAAGCUUUCCCACUGAGCACCUUGUAACCCCCACUCCUGCCCUCCAGAGAACAACCACCCUUUGACUGUAAUUUUCCUUUACCUACCCAAAUCCUGUAAAACAGCCCCACCCCUAUCUCCCUUGGCUGACUCUUUUCGGACUCAGCCUGCCUGCCCCCAGGUGAAAUAAACAGCCUUGUUGCUCACACAAGCCUGUUUGGUGGUCUCUUCACAGGGACGCAAGUAAAACAAACCUGCCUCCCAUUCUAUUCAAAGUCACCCCUCUGCUCACUGAGAUAGAGGCAUAUAUGAUUGUCUCCUUUGGAAAUGCUCAUCAGAAACUCAAAAGAAUGUAACCCUUUGUAUAUCACCUGUCUGUGACCUGGAAGCUCCCUCCCCACUUGCAGUCUUCCUGACUUUGCUUCAAGUUGUCCCACCUUUCCAGACCAAACCAAUGUACUUCUUACAUACACUGAUUGAUGUCUCAUGUCUCCUUAAAAUAUAUAAAACCAAGCUGUGCCCUGACCACCUUGGACACAUGUUGGUAGGA
This 543-nucleotide long non-coding RNA is filed under the name Homo sapiens (human). RNAcentral describes it as "HSALNT0321215". Lineage: Eukaryota; Metazoa; Chordata; Mammalia; Primates; Hominidae. The record is from RNAcentral.